Molecule: ribosomal RNA, 337 nt
Filed under: Rhopalurus laticauda
Lineage: Eukaryota; Metazoa; Arthropoda; Arachnida; Scorpiones; Buthidae
Description: partial 12S ribosomal RNA
Source: RNAcentral
AAGAAAUAUUCAAAGCUAAGUAGUAAACGCCGCCUCGAAACUUAAAGAAUUUGGCGGUGCUUUAAUCUAAUUAGAGGAAUCUGUUUUAGAAUCGACAACACACGAAAAAUCUCACACAGAACCAGCUUGUAUACCGUCGUAGAAACAAUAUUUUCUAAUUAUUAUUAUUUCAGAAAAACAUCACCUACUACAGAUCAAGGUUCAGCGCAUAUCUGCGAAAAAAUGGAUUACAAUAUACUCAUAUACAACGAAUAACCUAUCGAAAAAUAGAUUUUGAAGGUGGAUUUAAAAGUAUAAAAAAAUUAAUAUGUUUUUUUGAAUUAGCCCUAAAGCAUGC